UGGGGAAUAUUGGACAAUGGGCGAAAGCCUGAUCCAGCCAUGCCGCGUGUGUGAAGAAGGUCUUCGGAUUGUAAAGCACUUUAAGUUGGGAGGAAGGGCAUUAACCUAAUACGUUAGUGUUUUGACGUUACCGACAGAAUAAGCACCGGCUAACUCUGUGCCAGCAGCCGCGGUAAUACAGAGGGUGCAAGCGGUAAUCGGAAUUACUGGGCGUAAAGCGCGCGUAGGGGGUUUGUUAAGUAGGAUGUGAAAUCCCCGGGCUCAACCUGGGAACUGCAUUCAAAACUGACUGACUAGAGUAUGGUAGAGGGUGGUGGAAUUUCCUGUGUAGCGGUGAAAUGCGUAGAUAUAGGAAGGAACACCAGUGGCGAAGGCGACCACCUGGACUAAUACUGACACUGAGGUGCGAAAGCGUGGGGAGCAAACA
This 427-nucleotide ribosomal RNA is filed under the name uncultured bacterium. Its description in RNAcentral is "partial 16S ribosomal RNA". It matches the Rfam family "Bacterial small subunit ribosomal RNA", at positions 355 to 774 of the family's 1533-position model. The record is from RNAcentral.